AUUACGAAAAAAAAAACAAAAAAACUCCUAGCAAGUAAAAAAUGACAAUGGACUAAUUUCGAAAUAAAUUAUACUUGAUGGACCAAAACUACAUUUUGCAUAAACAGAGGAACAUUUGCUUUUGAAAAUCAGACUGUUGAAGUGGACCAUGGACUCGAACUUCGUCGUUUCUCAAGCUUCACCGGGGUCCGAAGGCCGAAGCUCGCCGUGACGAUGUCAAUGCCGCAUCCAUUCACCAUAUCUGCAUAAGCAUCGUCUGUGAGGCUGGAUCCUGAGGAGAUAUCAGCAAAACUGACUGGUUAUGAAAGAAAACACGACGCAGUCACAUGUAUUGGCAUGAGGACCUACAUACCGGUGAUUUAGGAUGAAGCAAUCACCAACCUCAAACCUGACUUCUUCUGGUUUGGAGUUGAUGAGAUUGAUCUUAAACUGGGGAUCAGAAUUCCUCAAUUUCAUUAAAACAUCCAUUGUCAACUGUAGUAAAAAAAAUCCCCAUUUUAAUGAAGUCGGACUCAAUUAGUUUACAGGCUGUUGACGUGAUUGUGAUUCGUCAAUAGUUGGGUUCGUCCCACUUCCAUUCUGAUCUCUGGUUAAAAAUAGAGGGAUCCCAACCAUCCUACGGCAUCCUGGUGGUGGAAUGAGCAACAUAGUUACCACAUCUCAAUACUGAUUGAUUGCAAAAGGAUCGAACUGCAGCUGCAAGCCCAAUUGUCCUGCGCUCAGGUUUUGUAGGGAGAUGAAGGUAGAACAUGCAGGUGCUUGGAUAUGCUCAUCCUUCACUACAUUUUUGAAGAUAUUGACGGCCUCCCUAUGUCUCCUCCUUCCUUUAAACUUCUCAAUCACCAUGGCCCCACUCGGAUUUAGACACAGAGGCGGAUUCAGAACUUAAUAUUUUACGUUUUAAUUGUUAACUCGUUAAUUUGAAAUUAUGAGUUCAUAUUUAAUCAACAAUAACAUGUCCAGUGAGAUUCCAUGAGUAGAGUUUGGAGAGAGUGAUCGAGUUGUAUGCCGACCUAAGUUACUAGAGAGUAGAGAGAGUGGUUGCAAUGUAACACCUUCUUGUUUGUGAUUAAUUAGUUACUCUACGUGAUAUUUUUAUGAUAAAAUUGAAUGACUUUUCAUUACAAAAAGAUUAAUAGUUUACUCACUUUAAUUAAUUUCUAAGAUAUGAAUCAUGCAAAGCUGAAUGAUGAUAAAAGUGUGCUAGCUAGUAACAUAUUGUGUAUAUUAUUAUAAAGUAUGCUAAUAUUUUUACAUAAUUGAAAAGAAUAUUGUUUGAGCUAGUUGAUCUACCGACAAAACUCUAGUCCUAGUUCAAAUUUUAGAAGUCAAGGAUAUACAAAAAGCUUAACAAAAA
Molecule: non-coding RNA, 1357 nt
Organism: Solanum lycopersicum (tomato)
Lineage: Eukaryota; Viridiplantae; Streptophyta; Magnoliopsida; Solanales; Solanaceae
Source: RefSeq, a predicted model, not a curated record